RNAcentral lists this ribosomal RNA (440 nucleotides) under uncultured bacterium. Its description in RNAcentral is "partial 16S ribosomal RNA". It matches the Rfam family "Bacterial small subunit ribosomal RNA", at positions 338 to 795 of the family's 1533-position model. The record is from RNAcentral.
CCUACGGGAGGCAGCAGUGGGGAAUAUUGCACAAUGGGGGAAACCCUGAUGCAGCGACGCCGCGUGCGUGAAGAAGUAAUUCGUUAUGUAAAGCGCUAUCAGCAGGGAAGAAAAUGACGGUACCUGAGUAAGACGCCCCGGCUAACUACGUGCCAGCAGCCGCGGUAUUACGUAGGGGGCAAGCGUUAUCCGUAUUUACUGGGUGUAAAGGGGGCGUAGACGGCAGUGCAAGUAUGGGGUGAAAGGCGGGGGCUCAACCCCCGGACUGCACUGGAAACUGUACGGCUGGAGUGCAGGAGAGGUAAGUGGAAUUCCUAGUGUAGCGGUGAAAUGCGUAGAUAUUAGGAGGAACACCAGUGGCGAAGGCGGCUUACUGGACUGAUACUGACGUUGAGGCACGAAAGCGUGGGGAGCAAACAGGAUUAGAUACCCUUGUAGUC